Molecule: long non-coding RNA, 1699 nt
Organism: Rhinolophus ferrumequinum (greater horseshoe bat)
Lineage: Eukaryota; Metazoa; Chordata; Mammalia; Chiroptera; Rhinolophidae
Exons: 3
Source: RefSeq, a predicted model, not a curated record
GGGUCUUUUGCACCCAUCCUCAGUCUAUCUCGUCUGGCCUCUUGCCUUCGCCCACUCGGGCCUCCUCCCCAGUCCUGAACGGAACAGAAACUUUGCAGGGAAACCUAGGCCUAAAAUUGGGGAACGAAUUUGGUGGCGGGGGAGGACCCGCUGGCGCUGCAGUUCUGAACUCUGACCCUGUAGAGGGAAGAGCCAGGAAACCCUUUCUUCUCCUGAAGUCCAGAUGUCGGGGUUCAGCCAUCCCUUAAAGUUAUUGAAGGGUUGUGUGUAUUGCGUGCGUACAAUAUCGGGGAUGGGGGAAUCUAUGGCUCUCUGCCGAUUCUGAAAGAAGUGCCAGGUUCCAAAGGAGAACCACUUGGGAACAGAGAUGAGAGUCCUUCCGUCUAAAGGGCAGCUCCAUGAGACUCUGGUAGCGGGGAAAGGUGGGGCGCGCCUAGUCUUUUUCGUGGCUCUCAUGUCUUUCGCUCUGAAACCGCCACCUGAAGUGAAAGACUAGGCCUGGGGACAGAAACAAGAAAGAAUUUUUUAUCGAAUGGGCCGGGCCGGUACGACUGCAGCAUGGGAAGUUAGGUCCUGGUGCACAGAAGGUCCCACGGGAGCCUUACCCGGCUGGCAGGGCCCAUGCAAAGGAGGUCGACGAGUAGCACCAGCCGAGCGGACAGGCCAGCGCUCUGCGGCUGCGGACAGCUGGAGCGCCGGGCGCGGCGUAGCGCCUUCAUUCGCUUCCCCUCCACGCGGCGCUGCACGCCUCGGAAAAUAAGUUAGCAAACGGGGAGCCGUUUAUCUCUUUUAUCUUGGGGCCUGAUCCAAUUAAGGAUUCAGCGCCUUCGAGUCCCUAAGUGCCAAGCUAGGGGGCCGGAACCAGUGCAGCCAAGCACAGGUGGCAAAUGCCCGCGCAGCCCCAGCACAGAGAUGUCUUAGGCGCUGCCUCACGCCACUCCCGCGUCCCAGUCCAAGCCUGCGAACAACCCCGAUCCUGGCACACGCCGGAAGUUUUCUUCGGGCUUCUCCAAGGCGCCUCGCCUUUGACACGGCCCAAGACGCGGUCAAGUGGAGGCUCGAGGAGAGACUUGGGACAGUACAGACGCGCAACUAUUGCUGGGAUUGGACGCCGGAGACAUUUCCUAAAUGCCCGAACCUCGAUCUGCCCGGCAGGCUGCCCCCAAACUGGAAAGACUCCAGACACCAGAGAAACCACUGGCCACCGAAAACCCAGCUCUGCGAAGGAGAAAAAAACCCUAAACGUAAUUGGGGGCUCGUACUGGAGGCGAAGUACGCAAAGAAAACCGUAGACCCUGCAGAGGCCAGGGGCAGGAGGGAUGCUGAGAGAUGACAGCGACUCGGGUACUAGUCUUCCAGCUUCUGGCAGUUUUGCUCCCCAGCCGGGAGGCUCCUCGCGGAGCCCCCCGUUGGGGAGAAACGCCGCGGGCUCCCUGGUGCGCGGUUCCUGUUCCCAGGCAGCUUUGCGGGCGUUCGCCUCCCAUCUCCAAGCCUCUGCAACCAGACUGGGGAGGCCUGCGCCGCGCCAUUUGCAUAUUCCCGAGAACACAAGGAGGCCUGUAAUUUUCUCUUUUAAAUCGUUGGACAGGGUUUAGGGCCAGUGCUUCCAAAACCCCGCAGAGUUGAUGUCGUUCUAAAACUCUCUCUUAAGAGAAGGGGACUGGCCUAUUCUUCUGACUUUUCAGAAGACAAGGUGACU